RNAcentral lists this ribosomal RNA (292 nucleotides) under uncultured bacterium. RNAcentral describes it as "partial 16S ribosomal RNA". The record is from RNAcentral.
GGACUACUGGGGUAUCUAAUCCUGUUUGCUCCCCACGCUUUCGAGCCUCAGCGUCAGAAAUGUUCCAGAGCGCCGCCUUCGCCACCGGCCUUCCUCCCGAUCUCUACGCAUUUCACCGCUACACCGGGAAUUCCGCGCUCCUCUCCCAUCCUCUAGCUGAACAGUCCCCUCUGCACUUUCCAGGUUAAGCCUGGAGAUUUCACGGAGGGCUUAUCCAACCGCCUACGCUCCCUGUACGCCCAGUAAAUCCGAACAACGCUUGCCACCUUCGUAUUACCGCGGCGGCUGGCAC